This 1285-nucleotide long non-coding RNA is filed under the name Anolis carolinensis (green anole). RNAcentral's name for it is "lncRNA (ENSACAG00000038721.1)". The record is from RNAcentral. Lineage: Eukaryota; Metazoa; Chordata; Lepidosauria; Squamata; Anolidae.
CAGGGAUUUAGACCGAGUCCACGCCAUAUUAGAAGACGUGUGGUCCCUCGGCUUGAAGAAACAAAGCCCUUGGUAGAAGCACGUCAGCUCAGUGAAGAAGAAACAUCUGUUAAGAAAAGAAAAGUCAAGAAAAUCAGCCGGGUCCAGCCAGAGUUCUACCAUUCUGUUCAAGUCACACCUACUCGAAAGCCAGAUUUGUUGCUGGAUGAACUGGGAACCAACAUCAGGAAAGGGAGACAGAUACUAUUUUCACAAUGUCCCCCCCAUGUACACAUAUUUUUUUCUUUAAAAUUAAAAAACCCUGAAUUUUGUCACUUCUUUCCAAAAGAGUUAAUCCAGAUUCUUGAUUAUUUAGUUGUUCUUUCUGCACCUUUUCAACUCUAACUUCUAUUGUGAGAUGUGGCAACCAGAAUAUAGUUCAUUUGCUAUCUGAAAAUAAAAGCAGCACAAAUGAGUGAAAGAGAGAAACAAAAUGAGAGAGAGAUUGAAUAGAUGAAUGAAUAAAUAAAACUUUAAAGGUAGAUGUGUCCCUAAGCCAUCGUUGUUGAAAAGAGAAAGCAGAGCUAGUUGUAGAACAACAGGGAAAUAUUUUAAGAACAUUUGAGCAAAGUGUAAUGUAUGACAUAUUAGAUUUACUACCUCCCAAAUGGUAUAUUAAUUUUUUUUAAUAUAACAACAAAAUUAGAGUAGGCUACAAGCCCACCAUCUACAGAAUGCUGCAGUAAAUAAAUAUUUACUGGAAAAGUGCUUUCUGUUCUUUAGGAGCUUUAAAAUGAUUAUACAUAGCUCUUUUUCUGUGUUUAGCUUGGCAGCCAAGAGAGGAUGUUGUCUGUAGAAAAGAAUAAAUAGCUGAGAUCUGGCAUAUCCCUCCAGCAGAGGGAAGUGGUACACAACCUAUUGCAAUAAGGUAUUAGGUAGGGCUGUUCAGCUCCCACGUUCCUUAGCUUGCUUUAAUCUUUUCAUGUAUUCUUCUUGUCCAGAUUUAUUGCUGAAUCUAGAAAUAAGCCCUGUGGUGCCACGAUCAAAGUUGCGAUGCUAUCUUUAUUUUGCCUUGAAGUGAUGAAAAAUUUAAAAUAAUAUGAUUAGGGAAAGGAAAUGAAUAUAUUAGGCAAGUAUGAAAAAUGUGUAAUAUUUCCAUCUAGGAUCUUAAAUUUCCAUAACUAAAGUAAGCAAAAGAAUAAAAAUAAAAUAGAUACUCAGCCAAAUGAAAAUCCUUAGUACAUGUAAUAGCUAAGGCAAAAAUAAAUGUGUAAGUGUCAAGAAUAACAAAAGUGUUAAUAAAUAG